CGUCGCAUCUGGAGAGGCAGAGGCCGUGGCCUUACUGACCUCAGAUUUGACUGCAACGGCGGAUAUCUGCUGUCAACACCACAAGAUACAUGAAUUUUAGCGGUGUUAUCGUCGAAAUGGAUAACCUGAGGUCUGUGCUACAAAGCAGCUUCAACAUACCCAGGAUAUCUUUUCAUCAUUUGGCUUCACUAAACUAAACCUAACUUCUGCAGUCUCUAAGCGGUCAUAGGACGGUGGUUAUCAACUCGCGAUAACUUGAAUGACACUGGGACAACCGUGGAGUGAGGAAGCAGAACUGUGUACAGCGCUGUCCAACAUGAAAACAAGUUAAUCAAUCGGACGCCGGUGAAAGGAGAGAGGUACAUUAAAAUCAAU
Long non-coding RNA from Lates calcarifer (barramundi perch), 375 nucleotides. RefSeq lists it as uncharacterized. The record is from RefSeq and is a predicted model, not a curated record. The transcript is spliced from 3 exons. NCBI's taxonomy places the organism in Eukaryota, Metazoa, Chordata, Actinopteri, Centropomidae.